RNAcentral lists this long non-coding RNA (1176 nucleotides) under Canis lupus familiaris (dog). RNAcentral describes it as "lncRNA (ENSCAFG00040006842.1)". The record is from RNAcentral. Lineage: Eukaryota; Metazoa; Chordata; Mammalia; Carnivora; Canidae.
AGGACCUAUUAGCAAACGUAGUGGCAGCUGCGUGCUGCAGCUCCCUGGAUUAUUCCUGACGCCAGCACAGCGAAGGGACUGUGGGGAGCGUUGCACCAGCCUCCUACAGGAGCGUGUCUGCUGGGCACGUUUGCAGGAGAGAGAGCUUCACGGGCUGUUACUUUGAAAAAAGUUGGUACCGAUACUCUGCCUCGUAGGUCGCCGUAGAGGAAAUAUCCAGGAUGUUGUCUUCUUUCUGCCUCCCAAAAUACCAUAUGUUCAUGCUUUUGCAAGGAAGAAAUACACAGAAAACUAAAACCAGGGUUAGCAAGUUUUACUUGUUUUUUAAUUGGCUUUGUGCUCUUCGUGGCGUAUCAGAGUCACUUUCCCAGGUCAUUCAAUCUUCCCCUGACUGUGAGUAAUGGAAUAUUCUAAGUUUAGCAAUGCUCAUUCUUGAACUUUUGGGUUAAUUCCAAACUCACUAUUAUAAAUCACACUUUGAGGAACAAGCUCAUGCAUUAAAUCUCUCCGCGGGUUUCUUGGAGAUACAUUUUUAAAAGUAAUGACAGGUCAAAGCUCUUCGAGUAUUUUUAAAGACUCUGCUAAGCGCCGUCAGGUGCAGGCCGGCACCGACUGUGCGACAGAGGAGAACGGGUCAUCUGUGGCCUGUCCUGGGCAGGAGCAGCCUCGAUGCAACCCGGCCUGCGGGGCGCCGGCCACGCUCCUGGCCACCAGGUGUCAGCGCAAGGCAGGGCGACCGGGCCAGGCCGGCCGGGCCACCCCGGUCCCCUCGGCCACGUCCCCCUGGGCGCCUGCAGUGACCCGGGUCCAGGGCUGACCGUCGGCUCUGCUUUAGGGCCCCCCAAACUGUUCCACGGCCUCUGCGGGCGACCCUGGUCUGGGGAGGAUCGGCCGGCGACAAAGCCCUCGCAUGUGCUCGUUCGGCAGCCACAGCGACACAGAGUCCCCCGGAGACAAGUGGGUGUCCCCCGGGAGCUGAGCAAGGCCAGCAUCGGCGUGGAGGUCACGAGGGGACAGACCCGGAGACCCAGUCGCAGCUCCCGAAAGCCAGGGCCCGGGCGUGGAGCAGAGUCUUCCUCGCUCCCCUCCGAGGCAACCAGCCCCGGGACACCGACCGUGGGCCCCUCGCCCCCAGGACCGCCAGACAUGACAUAUUUGCAGCGGAAUGGACAUUAG